This 468-nucleotide ribosomal RNA is filed under the name uncultured Allobrachymonas sp. Its description in RNAcentral is "bacterial SSU rRNA". It matches the Rfam family "Bacterial small subunit ribosomal RNA", at positions 910 to 1382 of the family's 1533-position model. The record is from RNAcentral. Lineage: Bacteria; Pseudomonadati; Pseudomonadota; Betaproteobacteria; Burkholderiales; Comamonadaceae.
UUAGACGGGGACCCGCACAAGCGGUGGAUGAUGUGGUUUAAUUCGAUGCAACGCGAAAACCUUACCCACCUUUGACAUGGCAGGAAUCCUGAAGAGAUUUGGGAGUGCUCGAAAGAGAACCUGCACACAGGUGCUGCAUGGCUGUCGUCAGCUCGUGUCGUGAGAUGUUGGGUUAAGUCCCGCAACGAGCGCAACCCUUGCCAUUAGUUGCUACGAAAGGGCACUCUAAUGGGACUGCCGGUGACAAACCGGAGGAAGGUGGGGAUGACGUCAAGUCCUCAUGGCCCUUAUAGGUGGGGCUACACACGUCAUACAAUGGCCGGUACAGAGGGUAGCCAACCCGCGAGGGGGAGCCAAUCCCACAAAGCCGGUCGUAGUCCGGAUCGCAGUCUGCAACUCGACUGCGUGAAGUCGGAAUCGCUAGUAAUCGCGGAUCAGCAUGUCGCGGUGAAUACGUUCCCGGGUCUU